Salvia splendens (bonfire salvia) is the source of this 512-nucleotide long non-coding RNA. RefSeq lists it as uncharacterized. The record is from RefSeq and is a predicted model, not a curated record. The transcript has 2 exons. NCBI's taxonomy places the organism in Eukaryota, Viridiplantae, Streptophyta, Magnoliopsida, Lamiales, Lamiaceae.
UACUAUAUAGAGUUCAAGUGGGCAAAAGCAUUAAAGAAAAACAUGGCCAAGAUCGUCUCUCUUUUCAUCAUAACCUUCCUAACAUUUUCCGGCCACAUGCUGGCCCGGCCGGAGCCCCAGUUUGCCGACGUCACUCCCAUUGAAAUACACUGCAAGGGUGAUGAUCAAGUAGAGAAAGCAGGCGGAGAAGCAGAAGACGAAUUGUUGAUGAGAGGUACGCUUGAGGCUCAUAUUGACUAUAUCUACACGCAGAAACAGAAGCAGCCUUGAUCAUUUUUUUUCUAACACGUGGAAUAUUAUUUAUAUGUAUAAAUACAUGUCACAUAUCUUAAAUUUUGUAAUAGUAUCAUAUUUUUAGUUAAUUUCUUGAUCAAAAUAGAGAAUCAGUCUUGUAUUAUGUAGUGUACUCUGUUUAGUGUUUAUAUACAUAUAUAAGUUGAGAUUUAGAUGUUAGAAGAGUUGACUGGUGUAAUACGACAGUUAUUAAAAUAGUGAUCUCUAUUUAUAAUUUA